GACGAACGCUGGCGGCGUGCCUAAUACAUGCAAGUAGAACGCUGAAGGAGGAGCUUGCUUCUCUGGAUGAGUUGCGAACGGGUGAGUAACGCGUAGGUAACCUGCCUGGUAGCGGGGGAUAACUAUUGGAAACGAUAGCUAAUACCGCAUAAUAGUAGAUGUUGCAUGACAUUUGCUUAAAAGGUGCAAUUGCAUCACUACCAGAUGGACCUGCGUUGUAUUAGCUAGUUGGUGGGGUAACGGCUCACCAAGGCGACGAUACAUAGCCGACCUGAGAGGGGGAUCGCCCACCCUGGAACUUAACCACGCCCCAUACUCCUACGGAAGGAACCAGAAUGAAACCUCCGCCAAUGGACGGAAACUUAACGAAACAAGCCGCCGUAAGUAAAAAAGGUUUCGGAUCGUAAAGCUCUGUUUUAAGAGAAGAACGAGUGUGAGAGUGGAAAGUUCACACUGUGACGGUAACUUACCAGAAAGGGACGGCUAACUACGUG
This 494-nucleotide ribosomal RNA is filed under the name uncultured bacterium. RNAcentral's name for it is "partial 16S ribosomal RNA". It matches the Rfam family "Bacterial small subunit ribosomal RNA", at positions 28 to 507 of the family's 1533-position model. The record is from RNAcentral.